UGAUUUCCACAAGUUCAACAAACUCUUCUCCCUAAAACAUUAUUUUCACCACUAAUUUUGUAAUACUUACGUGUUGUAUUCGUGAUUUUUCUACAUCAAAAAUUAACCACAGUGGAAAAAAUGUUUAAAGUAGUGUUCUAAAAUGAACGUAUAUAAUUAUUUGAAAAAGUUAUUCGUUUAUGAAAAUUGUUCGCGAUAAGAAUUCCUAAAGUACAUUAUUUAUUUUCAAAUAGUUAACUUUCUUUUUUGAGUGUCGUUAGUUUGAAAAAUCAAGAUGCCAUCGGAAGAAUCAUUUUGUGGAGCCACAUUAGAGAAUGUUCGAAUUCAUUAUUUUUUAAACCUGCAAGGUUUAAUAGACAUACCAAUAUGCAUAAUUGGCGUAAUCUUCAACAUGUUCAACAUGCUGGUGUUCACAAGGAGGAACAUGAUAUCACCUGUGAACCUAAUCUUCACGCAUUUGGCGUUUGCAAAUUUAUCAGAGCUGUUAGCGUUUAUAACCUCCACAUGGGCAUACUUGGCAUAUCACAGUAAGCAAAGCACUUACGAAGACUGGACUUAUACACGAGCAUUUAUUUUAAUGUUAAGCACAGAAUUGACAAGUUUUUUUAACCGCAUAUCUGCGUAUAUUGUAAUGAUGCUAGUAAUAUGGAAGUAUAUAGCUGUAUUUUAUCCAUCGAAGAAAUCUCAAUGGUGCAAUAUGAAAACUACACGCAAUAUGGUGGUAUCUGGUUACAUCGUAUGCAUCUUGCUUUAUGUACCGGAGUAUUUGUCACAUUAUAUUAAAACACACAUCAUGCAUCCGACGACAACAGUUUACUUUAGUAUUGAAACUCAUUCCAUCAUGUACUCUGCGCCUCAAUUCAUCAAAAUAGUGUUGCAUGAAUUAUUACCAUCACUUGUGCUACUAAUAUUAGGCGUUAGAUUGAUCGCCUCACUGUGGAUGAAAAAAGAACACUCAAGUACUUCUUCAAACGUUGAAAACCGCACAGACAAUUUCGAAAUGAAGCAACGAACCUAUCGAUCGAUAAUCAUAUCGUUGGUGAUUGUGGCUCAAUGUUUAAGUGUCGAGAUUCCAACAGGAUUACUCGACCUAGUACAUAGAGUGUUUAUACGCGAUUAUUAUUCAAUUCAUUACGAAUGUGUUACUAGCUUCAAAGUAAUACUCUAUCUUUUAGAUUGCGUUAAUAAAUCUAUUAAGUUUAUAGUAUAUUUCGCCAUGGAUCAAGAUUUUAGAGCCACAUUCAAAUCUUUGUUCAACAAAAACAAUGCUUUUUUUUGGAAACUGAAGUAUGUUCCUUUGAGCAGUAAGAGAGGGAAUGAUGAAAGCUUGGAAAUAGAUCAAAUUUAACACAGGUAGAAAAUUUAGAGAAAUGCGUUAUAUUUAGGAUGAAAAAUGAGGGUGAUAACUGAUAACACAGGGGAAAAUGAUUGGGUCCAUGAAUUUCAUGGAUCUAAUUUUACAUGACCACAUUGGAUCAGAUCUGAUCAGAUCCUGAGACAAUACCCAGAUCCCUGACAAGAUUGGAUUAGACCUGUGCAGAUCUGACCAGGUCCAAUCAUGUUCUCCUAGGAAGGUUUAUUUUAAAUGUCCAUAGUAUUUUUCAUUCAAAAGAUUAGGUUUUGGUGCUGAAAAAUAGCUUACUAGAUUAAGCAAGGUUAGGUACUGUUUCAUGUACAUAUUUGUAUUUAUCAAAAACUUAUGUAUGUAUUUAUCAUUCAAAAUAUUCUCGAAGUGAAAAUAUUUAUACAAGUAUGUAAAUUGAGUCUUUAUGUAAUUGUUCGGUAUAAAAACCAGUAACGUAAACUACCAGUUAUGGACCACUUUUUUACAAUUAAUCGCCAAAAAAUCAUUUGAGUACCUUAGAGUCAAAACCCAGCAACUAUCUAUGUAUUUCAACUAAGUAUCUCUGUAUUUCACAACUAGCUAUGUAUAUCAACUAUCUAUGUAUUUCAUGAAGAGUAACAUGUGUCUCCUCAAUAAUGUGCUCUUAAAAACUUUUAAUACUUUA
Planococcus citri (citrus mealybug) is the source of this 2009-nucleotide long non-coding RNA. RefSeq lists it as uncharacterized. The transcript has 2 exons. The record is from RefSeq and is a predicted model, not a curated record. Lineage: Eukaryota; Metazoa; Arthropoda; Insecta; Hemiptera; Pseudococcidae.